RNAcentral lists this ribosomal RNA (497 nucleotides) under uncultured bacterium. RNAcentral describes it as "partial 16S ribosomal RNA". It matches the Rfam family "Bacterial small subunit ribosomal RNA", at positions 28 to 507 of the family's 1533-position model. The record is from RNAcentral.
GAUGAACGCUGGCGGCGUGCCUAAUACAUGCAAGUCGAGCGAACAGACGAGGAGCUUGCUCCUCUGACGUUAGCGGCGGACGGGUGAGUAACACGUGGAUAACCUACCUAUAAGACUGGGAUAACUUCGGGAAACCGGAGCUAAUACCGGAUAACAUGUUGAACCGCAUGGUUCAACAGUGAAAGACGGUCUUGCUGUCACUUAUAGAUGGAUCCGCGCCGCAUUAGCUAGUUGGUAAGGUAACGGCUUACCAAGGCAACGAUGCGUAGCCGACCUGAGAGGGUGAUCGGCCACACUGGAACUGAGACACGGUCCAGACUCCUACGGGAGGCAGCAGUAGGGAAUCUUCCGCAAAGGGCGAAAGCCUGACGGAGCAACGCCGCGUGAGUGAAGAAGGUCUUCGGAUCGUAAAACUCUGUUAUUAGGGAAGAACAAAUGUGUAAGUAACUAUGCACGUCCUGACGGUACCUAAUCAGAAAGCCACGGCUAACUACGUG